This is a long non-coding RNA of Mesocricetus auratus (golden hamster), 444 nucleotides long. RefSeq lists it as uncharacterized. Lineage: Eukaryota; Metazoa; Chordata; Mammalia; Rodentia; Cricetidae. The record is from RefSeq and is a predicted model, not a curated record. The transcript is spliced from 3 exons.
AGCCGUCUUGAUUUUGCCAACUAAAUGCCAUGCUUUUGACUAUCUAAGGCCCUUGAGCUGUUGGCCACUUUUCCUUAUGAAGUAUCAGUCUCAGACGGUGAGAUGAGCAAAUGCACUUCUCUUUGAACUUUGACCAUGCUUUCUGCCUUCAAACAGAUGUCCAAAAAGUAAUAGAUCCGUUGUCCCUGGACUGAAGUCUUCAAACUGUGAUGGCACCAUUGAGAAGUGAUUGGAUCAUGAGAACGUUAACUUCAGCCACUGAUGAGAUCAAAGCUGCAUGAGCUACGAGGACAUGAGACCCGAUGGUCUUGUCAGAGAAAGUGGGCAUCUUGGGAUGUGCCUUUGGAAGGUGGAUCGUGUCCCUAGUUAAUGUCAAUCUGUCUGUUUGUCCUCUCUCUCUCCCUCUCAUCACAAACCCACAGCAAUAAAGAUGGCUAAAAUGUA